This is an RNA transcript of Rhodamnia argentea, 2239 nucleotides long. It is a transcript of the gene named phosphoinositide phospholipase C 4-like, with no coding region annotated. Lineage: Eukaryota; Viridiplantae; Streptophyta; Magnoliopsida; Myrtales; Myrtaceae. The record is from RefSeq and is a predicted model, not a curated record. The transcript is spliced from 10 exons.
AUAUCUCUCUGUCUCUCUGCUUGAAUCCAUGGCGAUCAUGACCACCUAAUCAACGUUUUUUUUUACCCAUAUUAAACUCCGUCGGCCUGCUAAUUCUUUAUUGGCUCUUGCUCUGUCCGUUCCUCUCCUUCUCCCCCUUUGUCUCUCUCUCUCUUCUCCGGUCGUUGUCUUCGUCUCCCCAAGUAUAUGAAGGGGCAGAUCGAACCAGCAGCCCACUUGCUCUGAUCUUUGGUUCUCGUUAUGGGGAGCUACAGAUGCUGCCUGUGCUUCACCAGGAAGUUCAAGGUGAAGGAGGCGGAGCCCCCGGAGGACGUGAAGCAGGCCUUCAAGAAGUACGCCGAUGGCGGCGCCACCAUGUCGGCGGAGCAGCUCCGGCGCUUCCUGGAGGAGGUCCAGGGAGAGGGCGGCGCCUCGGUCGCCGACGCGCAGAGGGUCGUGGACCAGGUCAUCCAGAAGCGCCACCACAUUGCCAAGUUCGCGAGGCACGCUCUCACCCUCGAUGAUUUCCACCAUUUUCUCUUCUCCGCUGAUCUCAACCCGCCUAUUGGAACUGAGGUUCACCAAGAUAUGACAGCUCCCUUGUCCCAUUAUUUCAUAUACACGGGCCACAACUCGUACCUCACGGGAAACCAACUAAGCAGUGAUUGCAGUGAUGUCCCAAUCAUCAAGGCGCUGAAGCGAGGGGUGAGAGUGGUGGAACUUGACAUAUGGCCAAACUCGGCAAAGGACGAUGUGCACGUUCUCCAUGGAAGAACCUUGACAACUCCGGUGGAACUCAGCAAAUGUUUAAAAUCUAUAAAAGAGAAUGCUUUUGCAACAUCUCCUUAUCCUGUUGUAAUAACACUCGAGGACCACUUAACUCCAGAUCUCCAGUCUAAAGUAGCUCAGAUGGUCACCGAAACAUUUGGAGAUAUGCUUUAUUACCCUGAAGCUGAAUUAAAGGAAUUUCUCUCGCCUGAAGAGUUGAAGUAUCGCGUAAUUAUAUCAACCAAACCACCGAAAGAGUACCUUGAAGCUAAAAGUAUGAAAGAGAGCGCUCAUUUGGAGAAGAAGGAUUCUGAGGAUGAUAUAUGGGAAAAUGAUCCGAUGGAUGUUUCGAUUACUCAACAGGAAGAUGAUAAGAUCGAGGGAAAAAUUAAUGAACACGGUCUUGAAGCUGAAGAAAGCGAUGAUUGUGAAACUGAAUCAUGUCAACCAGGGGGUUCUAUUUACAAGUGUCUAAUUGCUAUACAUGCUGGGAAACCAAAGGGUGGGUUAAAGGAAGCACUAAAGGUAGAGGUUGAUAAGGUUAGACGCCUCAGUCUGAGUGAACAAGCACUUGAGAAGGCCACCGAGUCUCAUGCGACAGACGUUGUGAGAUUUACUCAGAAGAAUUUCUUGAGAGUCUACCCCAAGGGUACUCGAUUUAACUCCUCCAAUUACAAGCCGCUAGUUGGUUGGAUGCAUGGAGCUCAGAUGGUUGCAUUUAACAUGCAGGGUUAUGGACAAUUUCUUUGGUUGAUGCAUGGUAUGUUUAGAGGCAAUGGGGGGUGUGGCUAUGUCAAGAAACCCGACUUUCUGAUGAGAGUGGGUCCAAAUAAUCAAGUUUUUGAUCCCAAAGCAAAACUGGAUGUGAAGAAAACUCUGAAGGUGAAAGUGUACAUGGGAGAUGGAUGGCAUUUAGACUUCAAACAAACGCACUUCGAUUUGUAUUCACCACCAGAUUUCUAUGCUCGCGUUGGCAUAGCAGGGAUGCCGGCUGAUACGGUGAUGAAGAAAACUAGGAAACUAGAAGACGACUGGACUCCCGUUUGGGAUCAGGAGUUUUCAUUUCCAUUGACUGUUCCCGAGCUGGCUAUAUUGCGGGUCGAAGUUCAUGAGUACGACAUGACUGAGAAGGAUGAUUUUGCUGGCCAGACUUGUUUGCCAGUUUCUGAGUUGAAAUCAGGGAUACGGGCCAUCCCACUCCAUGACCGCAAGGGGAAGAAGAUGAACUCAGUGAAGCUGCUUAUGCGCUUUGACUUUGAAUGAAUACUCUCCCUUGCUCAGGUCACAUCAUCUUCGUGUAACAUAUGUAGUCUCUAAAUUUUCGUUUGCUUCUCUCCGAGUUUUGUCUUUUCAUCAUCCUUUCGAUGUGGUUUUUAUUCAUUUGUGAUCCUGUUGUGCGUUUCUCCUUGUGUGUGAUCUCGAAAACAGAGUAGAGAUACGUAUGGUUCAAGAUGUUUUGACAGAUCGAAAUAAAAAAGGGCAUUCGAAUGUA